This is a long non-coding RNA of Impatiens glandulifera, 346 nucleotides long. RefSeq lists it as uncharacterized. The transcript has 3 exons. NCBI's taxonomy places the organism in Eukaryota, Viridiplantae, Streptophyta, Magnoliopsida, Ericales, Balsaminaceae. The record is from RefSeq and is a predicted model, not a curated record.
UUUUAAAAUAUAAGAUUGAGCUUGAAGAUCUAGUGUAAUAUGUUGAAAUCAAGUUAGUGAGAUUAGUUGGAGCAAAGAAAAAUGAUCUUACAGAUUGGGGUAUUGCGGCUGCUGACAAUAAUCAUGUUCAAAUUUUAUGAGGGAUUAAGAAGACGGGCAUAGCCCUUAUUUCUGAACUCAAGCUGAUGUCAAUAUAGGUUCUAAGAUCUUAAUUGGUCUGAACUAGGUUUAGUUCAUCCAUAUUCUCUAGUCAAGCAAACAAAGAAGAAGAAAAUGGUAUCACUGUUUUUAGAUUUUGAUAUAAAUACUAGAGGCGCAGAGAUAAAAAAAGUUUGUCUCCAAUGUA